GUACUUGCUUUGCAGCAUAUAGACUAAAAUUGGAAUUUAUAAGAGAAGAUUAACAUGGCAUCUGUACAAGAAAGACAUGCAAAUUCAUGAAGUUUUAUAUUGUUCA
This is a small nuclear RNA of Suncus etruscus (white-toothed pygmy shrew), 106 nucleotides long. Lineage: Eukaryota; Metazoa; Chordata; Mammalia; Eulipotyphla; Soricidae. The record is from RefSeq and is a predicted model, not a curated record.